This 70-nucleotide transfer RNA is filed under the name Papurana kreffti (San Cristobal treefrog). RNAcentral's name for it is "tRNA-Thr". It matches the Rfam family "tRNA". From Rfam's summary of the family: Transfer RNA (tRNA) molecules are approximately 80 nucleotides in length. Their secondary structure includes four short double-helical elements and three loops (D, anti-codon, and T loops). Further hydrogen bonds mediate the characteristic L-shaped molecular structure. tRNAs have two regions of fundamental functional importance: the anti-codon, which is responsible for specific mRNA codon recognition, and the 3' end, to which the tRNAs corresponding amino acid is attached (by aminoacyl-tRNA synthetases). tRNAs cope with the degeneracy of the genetic code in two manners: having more than one tRNA (with a specific anti-codon) for a particular amino acid; and 'wobble' base-pairing, i.e. permitting non-standard base-pairing at the 3rd anti-codon position. The record is from RNAcentral. Lineage: Eukaryota; Metazoa; Chordata; Amphibia; Anura; Ranidae.
GUCCUGAUAGCUUAAUUUAAAGCAUCGGUCUUGUAAGCCAAAGAUUGCAGCUUAAUCCCUGCUCAGGACU